CGUAGUUAAAGUAGACAUCCGUGGAAGGAAGAACGAGAAAAGGAACUCAAAGUAGUAUUUAAUGUUCUAGAAAUCACCGCGAACGACAACCUGGCGCGUGCUUUUCCAAUUUCAGCUUUACUGCCAUCAACCCGCUGCUGCUCUUUGGUCUUUCAAGUGCAUGGCCGUUGGCCGGUGGUCAGUGGCAGCUUAGUGGAUUCAUUACGGCUGCUUGAAUUACAGACAUCACUUUGCUGCUGGACUUGCUUUUUCUCCCCACUGGCAAUGGUAAUGGCAUUAAAUCGUCGUUGGAAUAUGACUGACUGUUACGCAGCAACAAGAAUUACUUAGUCAUUUUUGGAAUUAGACGUAUUUCUCUGGCUUUCUACAGUUCAAGACACCUGUGAGUCCUGGAAUCCGUGUCGCCAGCGACAUACCAUUUGGUGGAAGACCAUUUUUGAAGGCUGACAAC
This is a long non-coding RNA of Anastrepha obliqua, 451 nucleotides long. RefSeq lists it as uncharacterized. The record is from RefSeq and is a predicted model, not a curated record. The transcript is spliced from 3 exons. NCBI's taxonomy places the organism in Eukaryota, Metazoa, Arthropoda, Insecta, Diptera, Tephritidae.